ACGCUCGACACCUACGGGGGCAGCAGUGGGGAAUAUUGCACAAUGGGGGAAACCCUGAUGCAGCGACGCCGCGUGAGCGAAGAAGUAUCUCGGUAUGUAAAGCUCUAUCAGCAGGGAAGAAGAUGACGGUACCUGACUAAGAAGCACCGGCUAAAUACGUGCAAGCAGCCGCGGUAAUCUGAGCGGGCUGGCAAGGC
This 197-nucleotide ribosomal RNA is filed under the name uncultured bacterium. RNAcentral's name for it is "partial 16S ribosomal RNA". It matches the Rfam family "Bacterial small subunit ribosomal RNA", at positions 328 to 539 of the family's 1533-position model. The record is from RNAcentral.